RNAcentral lists this ribosomal RNA (503 nucleotides) under uncultured bacterium. Its description in RNAcentral is "partial 16S ribosomal RNA". It matches the Rfam family "Bacterial small subunit ribosomal RNA", at positions 28 to 523 of the family's 1533-position model. The record is from RNAcentral.
GAUGAACGCUGGCGGCGCGCCUAAUACAUGCAAGUCGAACGAAGAUCUAGCUUGCUAGAGCUUAGUGGCGAACGGGUGAGUAAUACAUAAAUAUUCUGCCCAUCUGACUGGGAUAACUAUUGGAAACGCUAGCUAAUACCGGAUAGGUUGAUUGGAGGCAUCUCUGAUUAAUUAAAGUAGGAUUUCUACACAACUGGAUGAGUUUAUGGCGCAUUAGUUAGUUGGUGGGGUAACGGCCUACCAAGACGAUGAUGCGUAGCCGACCUGAGAGGUUGACCGGCCACACUGGGACUGAGACACGGCCCAGACUCCUACGGGAGGCAGCAGUAGGGAAUUUUCGGCAAUGGGCGCAAGCCUGACCGAGCAACGCCGCGUGAGUGAUUAAGGCCUUCGGGUUGUAAAGCUCUGUUGUAAGGGAAGAACAUUCAGGAUAGGAAAUGAUCUUGAACUGACGGUACCUUACCAGAAAGCCACGGCUAACUACGUGCCAGCAGCCGCAGUAA